Molecule: ribosomal RNA, 292 nt
Filed under: uncultured bacterium
Lineage: Bacteria
Description: partial 16S ribosomal RNA
Rfam family: Bacterial small subunit ribosomal RNA
Source: RNAcentral
GUGCCAGCAGCCGCGGUAAUACGGAGGGUGCAAGCAUUAAUCGGAAUUAUUGGGCGUAAAGGGCGCGUAGGCGGGAUAGUAAGUCAGAUGUGAAAUCCCGGGGCUCAACCCCGGAACAGCAUUUGAAACUGCCGUUCUGGAGGAUAGGCGGAGAAAACGGAAUUCCACAAGUAGCGGUGAAAUGCGUAGAUAUGUGGAAGAACACCUGUGGCGAAAGCGGUUUUCUAGCUUAUACCUGACGCUGAGGCGCGAAAGCAAGGGGAUCAAACAGGAUUAGAAACCCUAGUAGUCC